RNAcentral lists this ribosomal RNA (439 nucleotides) under uncultured bacterium. RNAcentral's name for it is "partial 16S ribosomal RNA". It matches the Rfam family "Bacterial small subunit ribosomal RNA", at positions 339 to 795 of the family's 1533-position model. The record is from RNAcentral.
CUACGGGGCGCAGCAGUGAGGAAUAUUGCACAAUGGGGGGAACCCUGAUGCAGCAACGCCGCGUGGAGGAUGACGCAUUUCGGUGUGUAAACUCCUUUUAUAUGUCAAGAAAAUGACGGUAGCAUAUGAAUAAGCACCGGCUAACUCCGUGCCAGCAGCCGCGGUAAUACGGAGGGUGCAAGCGUUACUCGGAAUCACUGGGCGUAAAGGACGCGUAGGCGGGAUAUCAAGUCAGGUGUGAAAUCCUACAGCUUAACUGUAGAACUGCACUUGAAACUGGUAACCUAGAGUAUGGGAGGGGGAGAUGGAAUUAGUGGUGUAGGGGUAAAAUCCGUAGAUAUCACUAGGAAUACCUAAAGCGAAGGCGAUCUCCUGGAACAUAACUGACGCUAAGGCGUGAAAGCGUGGGGAGCAAACAGGAUUAGAUACCCUCGUAGUC